UACGUAGGGUGCGAGCGUUGUCCGGAAUUAUUGGGCGUAAAGAGCUCGUAGGCGGUCUGUCGCGUCGAUCGUGAAAACUUGGGGCUUAACCCUGAGCUUGCGGUCGAUACGGGCAUGACUGGAGUUCGGCAGGGGAGACUGGAAUUCCUGGUGUAGCGGUGAAAUGCGCAGAUAUCAGGAGGAACACCGGUGGCGAAGGCGGCUCUCUGGGCCUUACCUGACGCUGAGGAGCGAAAGCGUGGGUAGCGAACAGG
This 254-nucleotide ribosomal RNA is filed under the name uncultured bacterium. RNAcentral describes it as "partial 16S ribosomal RNA". It matches the Rfam family "Bacterial small subunit ribosomal RNA", at positions 524 to 776 of the family's 1533-position model. The record is from RNAcentral.